CCUACGGGAGGCAGCAGUGAGGAAUAUUGGUCAAUGGACGAGAGUCUGAACCAGCCAAGUAGCGUGAAGGAUGAAGGUCCUACGGAUUGUAAACUUCUUUUAUAAGGGAAUAAAGUCUCCCACGUGUAUGGAUACCCGUUUGUAUGUACCUUAUGAAUAAGCAUCGGCUAACUCCGUGCCAGCAGCCGCGGUAAUACGGAGGAUCCGAGCGUUAUCCGGAUUUAUUGGGUUUAAAGGGAGCGUAGAUGGAUCUUUAAGUCAGCUGUGAAAGUUUGGGGCUCAACCUUAAAAUUGCAGUUGAUACUGGAUAUCUUGAGUGCAGUUGAGGCAGGCGGAAUUCGUGGUGUAGCGGUGAAAUGCUUAGAUAUCACGAAGAACUCCGAUUGCGAAGGCAGCCUGCUAAGCUGCAACUGACAUUGAGGCUCGAAAGUGUGGGUAUCAAACAGGAUUAGAUACCCUUGUAGUC
Molecule: ribosomal RNA, 466 nt
Filed under: Acinetobacter baumannii
Lineage: Bacteria; Pseudomonadati; Pseudomonadota; Gammaproteobacteria; Moraxellales; Moraxellaceae
Description: bacterial SSU rRNA
Rfam family: Bacterial small subunit ribosomal RNA
Source: RNAcentral